AAUAAGGUGCCUGACAAAAGGGUUAUUUUGAUAGAAUAAAUCAUGUAGAUAUUCUACCCUUAUUA
Molecule: transfer RNA, 65 nt
Filed under: Tramea virginia
Lineage: Eukaryota; Metazoa; Arthropoda; Insecta; Odonata; Libellulidae
Also listed under: 1 other name
Description: tRNA-Ile
Source: RNAcentral